Molecule: long non-coding RNA, 1417 nt
Organism: Jaculus jaculus (lesser Egyptian jerboa)
Lineage: Eukaryota; Metazoa; Chordata; Mammalia; Rodentia; Dipodidae
Exons: 3
Source: RefSeq, a predicted model, not a curated record
CGGGGGUCAGUCACCCCAACAACCAGGCGACUGGGCCCAGGUGCCUCGGGGCGCCCAGCACCUCUGAGCCUCGGGGGCGGGCCCGCGCUCUGGUCUCGGUGCCCUGCUCUGUCGGUUACCACUGCGGGCCCCCAGGUGAGUAGACGGGUGCGGGAGCUCCUGAACUGGGCCACUUUGGGAGGCCGCGGUUCUGGCGGACGGUCUUCUUCUGCCUUUUCGGGGACCCAGAUGCGUCUCGGGCUGGAGAGCCCGCCGCGCAGGUGGAGGAGUGCGGGUAGGAGCCCCACCAGGAGCUUCUUCUGUCCUUCCAGCACUUUAACUCCGCGAAAAGGGUCGGGCUAGGCACGGGCAGGGUGACCCCCGCCAGGGGGCCUAAUGGUGAGCGCGAAUUUCUCAUUCGAGUUUGGCUAAGGUUUGAGAUUGAAUUUGAAACAAACGGAGGCGCGGCCCUGGCUGGGUCACCACCUUAGGCACCCUUUCCGGAUCCCAGGGUUUCACCGGCCGCACGACUCUGAGCUGUCAUGGUGUCACCUGAACCUGAGCUGGGGUCUGGGGGGAAUUCGUGUCUCUCGGCCUUUCCAUGGGGGCUUCUAGCCAUGCCCACCCCCUCUUUGUUGUGUGCAACGAAACAAGUAUUGUUGCACUGAAACCUGCACACCAAACCCUGCUUAAAAAAAAAAAAAUCCGCAGUUCUCAAAAAACUGGACUUAAGGAGGCAGUGCAAUAGAGAACGUGACUGGGCCCAUUCAACCCCGGAGAAAAGCCCCAAGGCCAGUGGGAGCGGGUGUGCAGGGCCCUCUGCCUGGGAACCUCUGCAGUCUGCCACCGCUUUCCCGCGGGGAAUGCAGCACCUCCGAGGCACCCACAGCGUGAAAUACCUGGUCCUGCUGCCAGCUUGCUGCUCAGCAUAGAGGAAGACACUCACUGGCCACCACACACCUAUGCCGUUUGUGGUCCUAGCAGGGGAGCAUCCUGGAUUCCCACCCCUUCCAGCAAGCCGGCAAACCUACCUGAUCAAACCAACUCCAAGACUAGGGAAGUGAGGGGGUGCUGGUGCUGCCGGGCUGGAGUGAGCCUUGGAGACAGCAGAGGAAGGGAGUUGGUGUUUCUAUCCAACGCAGAUCACCUCUCUAGAAGGCUCUGAAAACCGUCCAAUGACUCCUUAUCUCUGAGGGAGCACAAGUGUGCGGAGCCCCGGCGCCCAGAAGCCGCGGGGCUCCUGCAACUUUGAGCGCGAGGAGCAAGAAACGGAACCGGUUUCCCACGCAUUUCCUCUCGAUCCCAAAACCUUCCAAAAUGCGCCAACGAAUCCCGUGGUCUGGCUGACGCUGCUUGUGCCCUCGAGGUACGUGCUCACCCCACGGGCCCGCAGCCAGCCGUGGAACUGGAGGCGGAGGUCUCCUUCCACCGCCCACAC